RNAcentral lists this ribosomal RNA (445 nucleotides) under uncultured bacterium. Its description in RNAcentral is "partial 16S ribosomal RNA". It matches the Rfam family "Bacterial small subunit ribosomal RNA", at positions 354 to 796 of the family's 1533-position model. The record is from RNAcentral.
GUGAGGAAUAUUGGUCAAUGGGCGGGAGCCUGAACCAGCCAAGUCGCGUGAAGGAAGAAGGAUCUAUGGUUCGUAAACUUCUUUUGCAGGGGAAUAAAGUGCAGGACGUGUCCUGUUUUGUAUGUACCCUGAGAAUAAGGAUCGGCUAACUCCGUGCCAGCAGCCGCGGUAAUACGGAGGAUCCGAGCGUUAUCCGGAUUUAUUGGGUUUAAAGGGUGCGUAGGUGGUUUGAUAAGUCAGCGGUGAAAGUUUGCAGCUUAACUGUAAAAAUGCCGUUGAAACUGUCGGACUUGAGUGUAAAUGAGGUAGGCGGAAUGCGUGGUGUAGCGGUGAAAUGCAUAGAUAUCACGCAGAACUCCGAUUGCGAAGGCAGCUUACUGGGAUGCAACUGACACUGAUGCACGAAAGCGUGGGUAUCAAACAGGAUUAGAAACCCCGGUAGUCC